This 1393-nucleotide ribosomal RNA is filed under the name Halobacterium salinarum. Its description in RNAcentral is "bacterial SSU rRNA". It matches the Rfam family "Archaeal small subunit ribosomal RNA". Lineage: Archaea; Methanobacteriati; Methanobacteriota; Halobacteria; Halobacteriales; Halobacteriaceae. The record is from RNAcentral.
AAUUCCGGUUGAUUCUGCCGGAGGCCAUUAUUAUCGGAGUCCGAUUUAGCCAUGCUAGUUGUGCGGGUUUAGACCCGCAGCGGAAAGCUCAGUAACACGUGGCCAAGCUACCCUGUGGACGGGAAUACUCUCGGGAAACUGAGGCUAAUCCCCGAUAACGCUUUGCUCCUGGAAGGGGCAAAGCCGGAAACGCUCCGGCGCCACAGGAUGCGGCUGCGGUCGAUUAGGUAGACGGUGGGGUAACGGCCCACCGUGCCCAUAAUCGGUACGGGUUGUGAGAGCAAGAGCCCGGAGACGGAAUCUGAGACAAGAUUCCGGGCCCUACGGGGCGCAGCAGGCGCGAAACCUUUACACUGUACGAAAGUGCGAUAAGGGGACUCCGAGUGUGAAGGCAUAGAGCCUUCACUUUUGUACACCGUAAGGUGUGCACGAAUAGGACUGGGCAAGACCGGUGCCAGCCGCCGCGGUAAUACCGGCAGUCCGAGUGAUGGCCGAUCUUAUUGGGCCUAAAGCGUCCGUAGCUGGCUGAACAAGUCCGUUGGGAAAUCUGUCCGCUUAACGGGCAGGCGUCCAGCGGAAACUGUUCAGCUUGGGACCGGAAGACCUGAGGGGUACGUCUGGGGUAGGAGUGAAAUCCUGUAAUCCUGGACGGACCGCCGGUGGCGAAAGCGCCUCAGGAGAACGGAUCCGACAGUGAGGGACGAAAGCUAGGGUCUCGAACCGGAUUAGAUACCCGGGUAGUCCUAGCUGUAAACGAUGUCCGCUAGGUGUGGCGCAGGCUACGAGCCUGCGCUGUGCCGUAGGGAAGCCGAGAAGCGGACCGCCUGGGAAGUACGUCUGCAAGGAUGAAACUUAAAGGAAUUGGCGGGGGAGCACUACAACCGGAGGAGCCUGCGGUUUAAUUGGACUCAACGCCGGACAUCUCACCAGCCCCGACAGUAGUAAUGACGGUCAGGUUGAUGACCUUACCCGAGGCUACUGAGAGGAGGUGCAUGGCCGCCGUCAGCUCGUACCGUGAGGCGUCCUGUUAAGUCAGGCAACGAGCGAGACCCGCACUCCUAAUUGCCAGCAGUACCCUUUGGGUAGCUGGGUACAUUAGGUGGACUGCCGCUGCCAAAGCGGAGGAAGGAACGGGCAACGGUAGGUCAGUAUGCCCCGAAUGGGCUGGGCAACACGCGGGCUACAAUGGUCGAGACAAUGGGAAGCCACUCCGAGAGGAGGCGCUAAUCUCCUAAACUCGAUCGUAGUUCGGAUUGAGGGCUGAAACUCGCCCUCAUGAAGCUGGAUUCGGUAGUAAUCGCGUGUCAGCAGCGCGCGGUGAAUACGUCCCUGCUCCUUGCACACACCGCCCGUCAAAUCACCCGAGUGGGGUUCGGACGAGGCCGGCAUGCGC